RNAcentral lists this long non-coding RNA (497 nucleotides) under Bos taurus (domestic cattle). Its description in RNAcentral is "long non-coding RNA NONBTAT026699". The record is from RNAcentral. Lineage: Eukaryota; Metazoa; Chordata; Mammalia; Artiodactyla; Bovidae.
CCAGUGUUUUUUAUUUGUACAUUUAAUAUUCACAAAUCAUUUUACAGAUUUAUUCUUUUCACAGGUUCUUUAUAGGAAAAAUGAGGAUUAAAACAGCAUAUUGAAGAGGACCAAGAAAUACCAGCAGUGAUGAUGCAAAGUACAAAGGCUCUGAAAGAGAACAGAGUGAACAAGAGCAGAAUGUGGCCACUUCCUAAGAGGCUGGAACACUAACUUCAUUAAGGCAAAACCUUUAUUUACUGUGUUAUUUCUCCCUCCCACCUAGUUUACCCAAGUAGAAAAGAAUUCUAUUCUCAUACUACUACUGCUCUCUGACGUCUUAGGAAUAUAGCUGGUACUGCUCCAGUACUCAGGAAAAAGAACAAGUUAUUGACCACCUACAGCUGUAGGUUGUAAUGGCUAAUAAUGGGGAACAUACCCUGGGGAAGGGGUGUAUUUAUUUCAUAUGCAUAACAAUGCAAUUCAAAACUAUUGUCCUACUAUGAUCUCAGAUAAUG